Molecule: ribosomal RNA, 1447 nt
Filed under: uncultured organism
Description: SSU rRNA
Rfam family: Bacterial small subunit ribosomal RNA
Source: RNAcentral
UGAACGCUAGCUACAGGCUUAACACAUGCAAGUCGAGGGGCAGCAUGGUCUUAGCUUGCUAAGGCCGAUGGCGACCGGCGCACGGGUGAGUAACACGUAUCCAACCUGCCGUCUACUCUUGGACAGCCUUCUGAAAGGAAGAUUAAUACAAGAUGGCAUCAUGAGUCCGCAUGUUCACAUGAUUAAAGGUAUUCCGGUAGACGAUGGGGAUGCGUUCCAUUAGAUAGUAGGCGGGGUAACGGCCCACCUAGUCUUCGAUGGAUAGGGGUUCUGAGAGGAAGGUCCCCCACAUUGGAACUGAGACACGGUCCAAACUCCUACGGGAGGCAGCAGUGAGGAAUAUUGGUCAAUGGGCGAGAGCCUGAACCAGCCAAGUAGCGUGAAGGAUGACUGCCCUAUGGGUUGUAAACUUCUUUUAUAAAGGAAUAAAGUCGGGUAUGGAUACCCGUUUGCAUGUACUUUAUGAAUAAGGAUCGGCUAACUCCGUGCCAGCAGCCGCGGUAACACGGAGGAUCCGAGCGUUAUCCGGAUUUAUUGGGUUUAAAGGGAGCGUAGAUGGAUGUUUAAGUCAGUUGUGAAAGUUUGCGGCUCAACCGUAAAAUUGCAGUUGAUACUGGAUAUCUUGAGUGCAGUUGAGGCAGGCGGAAUUCGUGGUGUAGCGGUGAAAUGCUUAGAUAUCACGAAGAACUCCGAUUGCGAAGGCAGCCUGCUAAGCUGCAACUGACAUUGAGGCUCGAAAGUGUGGGUAUCAAACAGGAUUAGAUACCCUGGUAGUCCACACGGUAAACGAUGAAUACUCGCUGUUUGCGAUAUACUGCAAGCGGCCAAGCGAAAGCGUUAAGUAUUCCACCUGGGGAGUACGCCGGCAACGGUGAAACUCAAAGGAAUUGACGGGGGCCCGCACAAGCGGAGGAACAUGUGGUUUAAUUCGAUGAUACGCGAGGAACCUUACCCGGGCUUAAAUUGCAGAUGAAUUACGGUGAAAGCCGUAAGCCGCAAGGCAUCUGUGAAGGUGCUGCAUGGUUGUCGUCGGCUCGUGCCGUGAGGUGUCGGCUUAAGUGCCAUAACGAGCGCAACCCUUGUUGUCAGUUACUAACAGGUUCCGCUGAGGACUCUGACAAGACUGCCAUCGUAAGAUGUGAGGAAGGUGGGGAUGACGUCAAAUCAGCACGGCCCUUACGUCCGGGGCUACACACGUGUUACAAUGGGGGGUACAGAGGGCCGCUACCACGCGAGUGGAUGCCAAUCCCCAAAACCUCUCUCAGUUCGGACUGGAGUCUGCAACCCGACUCCACGAAGCUGGAUUCGCUAGUAAUCGCGCAUCAGCCACGGCGCGGUGAAUACGUUCCCGGGCCUUGUACACACCGCCCGUCAAGCCAUGGGAGCCGGGGGUACCUGAAGUGCGUAACCGCGAGGAGCGCCCUAGGGUAAAACUGGUGACUGGGGC